This is a non-coding RNA of Sebastes umbrosus (honeycomb rockfish), 360 nucleotides long. Lineage: Eukaryota; Metazoa; Chordata; Actinopteri; Perciformes; Sebastidae. The record is from the annotation of a RefSeq genome assembly.
AUGGCUGACAGAAAGCUAACACUCUUGCUGGUUGCUCUGUUUGUUUCGACUGGUGCUGAAGGUCAGACCAUAACAGAGUCGGAACCAGCAGUUAGAAAACCUGGAGAAUCACACAGACUCACUUGCACAACAUCAGGAUUUAGUUUUACAAGCUCAGUUUGGAACUGGAUCAGACAGCCUCCUGGAAAAGGACUGGAGUGGAUCGCUUAUGUUUAUAGUACCGACAUCCGUUACUCCCAGUCAGUCCAGGGGAGAUUCACCAUCUCCAGAGAUGACUCCAGCAGUAAAGUCUAUCUACAGAUGAACAGUCUGAAGACCGAGGACACAGCAGUGUAUUACUGUGCCAGAGACAUACAGUGA